GGGUAUGGGUGACUUGUAAGGGUAUGGGUCACUUGUAAGGGUAUGGGUGACUUGUAAGGAUAUGGGUGACUUGUAUGGGUGACUUGUAAGGGUAUGGGUGACUUGUAAGGGUAUGGGUCAUUUGUAAGGGUAUGGGUGACUUGUAAGGGUAUGGGUCACUUGUAAGGGUAUGGGUCAUUUGUAAGGGUAUGGGUGACUUGUAAGGGUAUGGGUCACUUGUAAGGGUAUGGGUCACUUGUAAGGGUAUGGGUGACUAGUAAGGAUAUGGGUGACUUGUAAGGGUAUGGGUGACUUGUAAGGGUAUGGGUGACUUGUAAGGAUAUGGGUGACUUGUAAGGGUAUGGGUGACUAGUAAGGGUAUGGGUGACUUGUAAGGGUAUGGGUGACUUGUAAGGGUAUGGGUGACUUGUAAGGAUAUGGGUGACUUGAUGAUGUAAGCGGGUCGUCAAAAAAAUAAUCAGAUAUAGUCAACAAAUCAGACUCUGGCAUCAGAACCUGUGGUGUAAAUGCAGCCUGAGUGUUUCAUUACUUGCUUCUUCAGUCAUAGAUGAGAAACUGAAGCGAUUAUUUCAAAAUCCUCUUGCUGGAUAUUAUUCACAAAUCUUUCAUUAUUAAAAUGCGAACUAAAGCUGGCAAACCUUCAGGCGAGUUUUCUAGAGCGCUCGUGUGUGGGAAUCGUACCAUGUUAAGCCCACAGGAAGUGUUUAUGACAGACUACUCUUUGCUCUGAUUUUCACACAGCACGCGGUUUUGAAAAACCACAAAAGAUUACGAUCAAACUGUCUUCCGGUGUUGUUUUUCUGAGCUGGCUUGUUAAUCAGAACUUUAUAUUUGGCCAACGUAUCAUAUCAGGAUAUCUGAAGACAUUUCUACGAUCCACGAUACGCACCAUGAUAUACUGUGUAUGCAUGUUUGCUAACAAAGUACCAGCUCAACUGUAGUGUCGCUUGUACGACUAAAACCUUUUUUCCUGAGACUUUUCAUGAUGUCUAGGAAAAUCAUUUCUACUGAAAAGCAGGUGAGGAUUUUACGGUUUUGAAUAAAACGACAGAAAUACAUCGAGAUACUCGUAUUGAGAUACUAAAAAAUGUAGCGUGACAAUAUUUAUCACCGGGUUAUCUCGUCAUAUCGCCCAGCCCUAGCUGUGAUUACCGUAUACCCUGUGAUACAUUUCAACACACGUUUCAAGUCUUUACAUUUCAAUAGAUUACUGUUUUAUUGCAAAAUAGUUUCCAUUUGUUGCAUCUUGUGAUUACUGUGAUUCACUGAAACGCUGACAAUCUUGCGCGUAUGAGAAUGUUCCGGACGACUAGAUUACUCAAUAAAACAUUUAGCAAUCGGUCAUAAAGAGUUCAUACGCAUAUUUUAGCUUCCGGAGGUAUUUAAGCGUUGCGAUAACGAUGAACUAAUGUUCAGCUUUACUGUAAGGGCUCGUCAGGAAAAACGGCAAGAUGGAUGAUCCGAAGAAGAAAAAGUCUUGCUUUAUCUGUGUUCGGAAGCGCAUGGCAAGGAAGACUAGGAUAUUGAUAAUUGAUAAUGUUAAUGAGUCUUUAUUGGGCAUGUACAGUAUACACUACAGCAAAAGCCGCAUCAAAAUCAAGAAUUUUUGGCUGCAACAAUCAUAAGAAACUCCAGUUCCAUUUUACCUCACAUAUAUGUAUAUACGUAGUGAUUUUAUUCCUUUUCUAACCAGCAGAGGUAAGGAGAACGUUUAAGUUAAAAGUUUAAUUGCUAGCUAGUUUGCUAGCUAAGACUGCGUUCCUCAGUCACCCUGUCAUGCUUUGACCAAGUCGUUUUACGUGCUGUAGUGAAAGUGGCGUAUUUCGAUCCAGUCCAUAAACAGUAUAAACACCAGCUGACAGUCUAUCCCUGACUCACACACAGACGUGCCGUGGAGAAAGUCGCAGCGUUUGAAUUAAACUCACCGAAUGAGUCAGCGAUUAUUUCCCCACCGACGUCAGCGCGAUCAGAGAUCGGGCGAGUCGAAAAUGAGACGCGAAGGCUUGCGCUCAUUAAACGCCGUGACUAAUCCUGACCUCAGGAGAAGAAACUGACGUAUAGAUGCUGCUGAUAAUCAGACUGAUUACGCGGUUUCCUU
Molecule: long non-coding RNA, 2098 nt
Organism: Ictalurus punctatus (channel catfish)
Lineage: Eukaryota; Metazoa; Chordata; Actinopteri; Siluriformes; Ictaluridae
Source: Ensembl